RNAcentral lists this ribosomal RNA (497 nucleotides) under uncultured bacterium. RNAcentral's name for it is "partial 16S ribosomal RNA". It matches the Rfam family "Bacterial small subunit ribosomal RNA", at positions 28 to 507 of the family's 1533-position model. The record is from RNAcentral.
GACGAACGCUGGCGGCGUGCCUAAUACAUGCAAGUUGAGCGCUGAAGGUUGGUACUUGUACCAACUGGAUGAGCAGCGAACGGGUGAGUAACGCGUGGGGAAUCUGCCUUUGAGCGGGGGACAACAUUUGGAAACGAAUGCUAAUACCGCAUAAAAACUUUAAACACAAGUUUUAAGUUUGAAAGAUGCAAUUGCAUCACUCAAAGAUGAUCCCGCGUUGUAUUAGCUAGUUGGUGAGGUAAAGGCUCACCAAGGCGAUGAUACAUAGCCGACCUGAGAGGGUGAUCGGCCACAUUGGGACUGAGACACGGCCCAAACUCCUACGGGAGGCAGCAGUAGGGAAUCUUCGGCAAUGGACGAAAGGCUGACCGAGCAACGCCGCGUGAGUGAAGAAGGGUUUCGGAUCGUAAAACUCGGUUGGUAGAGAAGAACGUUGGUGAGAGUGGAAAGCUCAUCAAGUGACGGUAACUACCCAGAAAGGGACGGCUAACUACGUG